This 76-nucleotide transfer RNA is filed under the name Chthonomonadales bacterium. Its description in RNAcentral is "tRNA-Ala". It matches the Rfam family "tRNA". From Rfam's summary of the family: Transfer RNA (tRNA) molecules are approximately 80 nucleotides in length. Their secondary structure includes four short double-helical elements and three loops (D, anti-codon, and T loops). Further hydrogen bonds mediate the characteristic L-shaped molecular structure. tRNAs have two regions of fundamental functional importance: the anti-codon, which is responsible for specific mRNA codon recognition, and the 3' end, to which the tRNAs corresponding amino acid is attached (by aminoacyl-tRNA synthetases). tRNAs cope with the degeneracy of the genetic code in two manners: having more than one tRNA (with a specific anti-codon) for a particular amino acid; and 'wobble' base-pairing, i.e. permitting non-standard base-pairing at the 3rd anti-codon position. Lineage: Bacteria; Bacillati; Armatimonadota; Chthonomonadia; Chthonomonadales. The record is from RNAcentral.
GGGGCUGUGGCUCAGCUGGGAGAGCGCCUCGUUCGCAUCGAGGAGGUCGGCGGUUCGAAUCCGCCCAGCUCCACCA